UACGUAGGUGGCGAGCGUUGUCCGGAUUUACUGGGCGUAAAGCGCGCGUAGGCGGCUUUCUAAGUCCUGUCGUGAAAGGUCGCGGCCCAACUGCGACAGUGCGCGGGAUACUGGGGAGCUUGAGGGCAGCAGAGGCCGGUGGAAUUCCCGGUGGAGUGGUGAAAUGCGUAGAUAUCGAGAGGAACACCUGCGGCGAAGGCGGGUUGCUGGGCCGACACUGACGCUGAUGCGCGAAAGCCAGGGGAGCGAACGGG
Molecule: ribosomal RNA, 254 nt
Filed under: uncultured bacterium
Lineage: Bacteria
Description: partial 16S ribosomal RNA
Rfam family: Bacterial small subunit ribosomal RNA
Source: RNAcentral